UACGGAGGUGGCAAGCGUUGCUCGGAAUCACUGGGCGUAAAGGGCGCGUAGGCGGGGAGGUAAGUCGGGUGUGAAAUCCCUCGGCCCAACCGAGGAACUGCGCCCGAGACUGCUUCUCUUGAGUCCUGGAGAGGAAGAUGGAAUUCCCGGUGUAGCGGUGAAAUGUGUAGAGAUCGGGAGGAACACCGGUGGCGAAGGCGGUCUUCUGGACGGUGACUGACGCUGAGGCGCGAAAGCGUGGGGAGCAAACGGG
This 253-nucleotide ribosomal RNA is filed under the name uncultured bacterium. Its description in RNAcentral is "partial 16S ribosomal RNA". It matches the Rfam family "Bacterial small subunit ribosomal RNA", at positions 524 to 776 of the family's 1533-position model. The record is from RNAcentral.